UACGUAGGGCGCGAGCGUUGUCCGGAAUCAUUGGGCGUAAAGAGCUCGUAGGCGGCCGGUUGCGUCUGCUGUGAAAUCCCGGGGCUUAACCCCGGGCGUGCAGUGGAUACGGGCUGGCUGGAGGCAGGCAGGGGAGAAUGGAAUUCCCGGUGUAGCGGUGAAAUGCGCAGAUAUCGGGAGGAACACCGGUGGCGAAGGCAGGUCACUGGGCCGCAACUGACGCUGAGGAGCGAAAGCAUGGGGAGCGAACAGG
RNAcentral lists this ribosomal RNA (253 nucleotides) under uncultured bacterium. RNAcentral describes it as "partial 16S ribosomal RNA". It matches the Rfam family "Bacterial small subunit ribosomal RNA", at positions 524 to 776 of the family's 1533-position model. The record is from RNAcentral.